Dromaius novaehollandiae (emu) is the source of this 1701-nucleotide long non-coding RNA. The record is from Ensembl. Lineage: Eukaryota; Metazoa; Chordata; Aves; Casuariiformes; Dromaiidae.
CAAGAGUAACUCCAUCACAGAAUAUAUUAUUGUGGAGGACUGGCUUGAUGGCAGAGGUCAUGUGAAGAUUGAACAAAUAAAGGAAGCASAACUAAGUACAUAUCGUACACAGUUGAUGUGAGCCAAGUCACGUACGAGAGUAAAAACAGCUAGUAAGAGCCAAGGACACAUUGGCUCCAAUGUGUUACCAAUGAUAAGGAACUUGCGGCGUUGGGGUAGACAAAAAUUGCUAUUACCAAUAAGGAGCUCAGCUUUUGCAAUAUGUAUGAGCCUGAUUAGUCCUGUGCUAUAUAAAGRAAGAYCACRCCUAAUAAAGWUGAAGUAUGCUGAUCACUCAUAUUGAGCGUCUGGGUCUUCCCUCCGUCGGCUCCUCCCGUGCAAGUUUCCAACAAAUGGCGCCCGAACAGGGACCCUGCCGGUCAGRGACUCGGUGAUUAAAAACUCAGGAGUCGACGGAGUACUAGGGACAGCUGGUCCUGCUGUGCUAAAGGCGACGAGACACAAUCGGGAGUCUACGUGCCAGAGUUACAGAGGAGGUGGAGAGGACACAAACAAAGGGGGGGUCCGCACCCAGGACGAGAAGGGGUCCUGCCAGAAAGUCUCGCCGCAGGUCUUGCAAAGGUUGCAACGGUAAGUGAGUAACCACGGAGCGACAAGCGGCUUAUGAUUUGUUAAGAUGCUUUUUAGAAAAGCGGGGUACUCAAGGAAUAGAAUGUCAUAAGGAACUCCCAGGGCUAUUAGCUUACGGAGUGGCUAAGGGGUGUUUUGUUAACCCAGAUACYRUGUUYGAACAAACUGAAUGGAAAAAAUUUGGGGACAAGUUGUUUGAUGAAGUAAUAAGUGACAACAAGACAGCAAAAAAGCUGAUGAAACCGUGGAGGGCAGUUACUAAUGCUCUCGCAGUACAUCAGGCUGAGCAGAAAGUAGCUGCCGCCGCCGCGGAGCGUUUGGGAAGCCCCGAUGGGUUCAAGGAACCCCCGCAUGCAGAGGUGUCCCCAUACCCAUCGCCCCCCUCGAUCCGAACCUUUACUAUUGCCCAGGGAGGGUCUGGGAACACAGGCCUGCCAAAAGGAGCAACAUUGACCAUGCGGCAGAUCCCCCCUCCUCCCUCAGCGCCUCCAAUAGAGGAUGAGACGGGGGGCGGGGGAUCGGAAGCAAACCCUUUUYUCACAAACACCAACCCAUUUGUAUCAGGUCCCGCRAGCAGUGCUAAUAAGUGGGAAAAAAUAGCAAGGGAAGCUAUGCAGGAAGGGAAUUACGAGGCAGCAGUACAACUAAGUCAGGCAUUCCCCGUGGUAUAUUCGCCCCCCGAUGCUCAGGGAAACGUCACCGUAAAUAUGACAAAUCUAGAUUGGAAGUUGUUAACGCAAUUGAGAUCUACUGUAAAUGAUUCGGGAAUAAAGGGGGAACCAACCCGACAGAUGUUGGAUUAUAUUUGGGGAACGCGCAUUGGCACGCAGUAUGCCAGGAAGCGGUAGCUGUUAUAAGGGCUCCAGGGGACCCGUUGUAUGGAGUAACGUUAGAUGAGUUGAUGGGGAUAGGCGCGUAUUUCCGCUUAGAAGCGCAGGCCCUGCUGGGACCAGAUAAAGUUAAAGAAUCAAUGAAACUAGCAAGGCGGGCGCUUGAUCAAUUAAAGGAGCCAGGGGGUAUCCCAUCUUAUAUGGGAAUAAAGCAGGGCCGGGAAGAGCCUUUCGGCUURUU